GUCCUUUAGAGUAUAAUUAAAGGUUUAACCUGCCCACUGAAAAAUUUGAAUGGCCGCAGUAAAUUGACUGUGCAAAGGUAGCAUAAUCAAUAGUUUUUUAAUUAAAAGCUUGUAUGAAUGGUUGGACGAGAUAAAAUCUGUCUUUAGAUUAAAUAUAGAAUUUAAUUUUUAAGUUAAAAAGCUUAAAUUAAAUUAAAAGACGAGAAGACCCUAUAGAUCUUAAUAAUUAUUAAGUUAAAAAUAUAUAGGAAUAGGAUUUAUUAUAAUUUAAUAAUUAUUUUAUUGGGGUAAUAGAAAGAUUUAAUAAAUUCUUUUUUAUUAAUAACAGUAAUUUUUGAAUUGUUGAUCCAUUAUUAAUGAUUAAAAGAUUAAGUUACCUUAGGGAUAACAGCGUAAUUUUUUUAAAGAGUUCAUAUCGAUAAAAAAGUUUGCGACCUCGAUGUUGGAUUAAAAAUUAUUUUAGGUGUAGUAGUUUAGAAUUUUGGUCUGUUCGACCAUUAAAUUUUU
Molecule: ribosomal RNA, 507 nt
Filed under: Graptodytes delectus
Lineage: Eukaryota; Metazoa; Arthropoda; Insecta; Coleoptera; Dytiscidae
Description: partial 16S ribosomal RNA
Rfam family: Bacterial large subunit ribosomal RNA (bases 384-507)
Source: RNAcentral